CGCCCGGGGCGCGCACGCCGUGGGGGCGGAGGGGAGAGAAGCGCGGCGCGGGGGGUGGGGCUGCGCCAGGGGCGGGGCCUGUGCCCCGAUGAUUGGCGUGGAGUGCAGAGCUCUUCCCAGGGUAAAGACCGGCGGGCAGCUCGCCUCUGAGAGUGCCGAAGGUGACAGCGGUGUCACAGAAGUAAAGGGUGACAGUGGAAUUCUGCCCCCACAGCUGUGUCUGCAUCCUGUCCGUUUCCGUGUAGCUGAGUGGCCCACCCAGCUGGAGCUCCGUGUGCCUGCCAUCGUCCCGAGCGCUUUGCUGGAGGAGCCAUUUCUAGGAGGAGAAGUCACGUCGAGUGUGGGCCCUGGCCUGGAUUAUGCCCCUCCGGUCACAGGGAGGACGGCAACUGUCUAUAAAGGGUCACCUACCGCUCAGGCCGUGAGUGGAAACACGGAGGGGAGGCCCCACUCAUUCUGGUGA
This 463-nucleotide long non-coding RNA is filed under the name Felis catus (domestic cat). RNAcentral describes it as "lncRNA (ENSFCAG00000047623.1)". Lineage: Eukaryota; Metazoa; Chordata; Mammalia; Carnivora; Felidae. The record is from RNAcentral.